UCUGCGUCGCUCACACUGGGAGCUGUAGACUGGAGCUGUUCCUAUUCGGCCAUCUUGGCUCCUCCCGAGCACUUAUUUUCAAGGAGUCAUCAUUUAAAAUCUUAUUUUCUUAAUAAGAACACAUACUCCUUAAGAAGACAUACUUUUUUUGUACCCUUGUCUCUCUCAUUUAUUCCUUCUCCCUCUAUUCAUAAUUGACAUUAAUUGAACAUUCUUUGUUUUAUUAAUCUAUAUAAAAACAAUGUCACAUUUCAAGUGUUUAUCAUGUAAGCAAUGUUAUAUCGACUUAACGUGGUAGGCAGAAUAAUAGACCUUCAAUGAUGAUGGCCCUAUCCUAAUCUCUGGAACCUAUGAAAAUGCUAUCUUCGUGGCAAAGGGGACUUUGCAAGUGUGAUCAAGUUAAGGACUUUGAGGUAAAAGGUCAUUAAUUAGGAGAAGAUUUAUCUCAAGGAAACGUAUGAUCUGUGGGUAGUGUGGUCAAAGAUGACUUCUGCAGAUAAAAACAUCAUCUUGUAUGCAAGAGAUACGACCCUCUUUUAUAUAGUUGAACUGCAAAGACUACCUUACUGUUCACUCCCAGAAUGGCAAAAAGAUAGAUGAAGAUGGAGAAAUGUGCACCUAACACUGCAUCUUUAUGAGCAAAGGAUUUUCUUUGGAAAAACUGUGAUUAUAUGAAAAUCAUAGGACAUUUUAUUUGUGACUACAGGGCGUGGUGAAAACCUCUGCUACCAUACUGGAUACAAGGUCUUUAACUUCUCAGCACCAGUUUUAUGGAGCCCCCACCGCUAAGCAAGUAUGCAAAAUGCAGUGCUGCUUCGCAUUGGGAAAUCCCCAAUCUGGUGCCAAGAGGUUCAUAAAUACAGUAAUGGACCCUCUUAUGUCAAAAGUGAGUACUGUUUAACAGCGUAAGUUGGAACAGCCUUCAGGAUGCUUUGCAGCUGCAGUUGUUCCACUGCAAGACAUCACAAACUUCAUGAUGAUGGUUGUCACACCAGGUCCUGGAAAGGCAACCUACUUCAGUCUGCAAAGUGAACUAAAAGGGAAUGGUUGUUCAUACAUGGCCCUGAUGCCACUGACAUAAGAAACGCAAUGACAAGAGCGAUGAAGUAGGAAUUUGGUGGCAGAUGGUCAGGUCUGCAGGAAGUGUCCACCCAGCUUUGUUUGGCCCAUAUUCUGAAACAACUAGAAUAAACACUUAGUGUCAUAAUUUAUAAGCAUAUCAGUACCAAUAAAUCAGAAUCAUGCAAACAGU
Molecule: long non-coding RNA, 1252 nt
Filed under: Homo sapiens (human)
Lineage: Eukaryota; Metazoa; Chordata; Mammalia; Primates; Hominidae
Description: HSALNT0306150
Source: RNAcentral